Molecule: ribosomal RNA, 490 nt
Filed under: uncultured bacterium
Lineage: Bacteria
Description: bacterial SSU rRNA
Rfam family: Bacterial small subunit ribosomal RNA
Source: RNAcentral
CGAGCGGUAGCACAAGGGAGCUUGCUCCCUGGGUGACGAGCGGCGGACGGGUGAGUAAUGUCUGGGAAACUGCCUGAUGGAGGGGGAUAACUACUGGAAACGGUAGCUAAUACCGCAUAACGUCGCAAGACCAAAGAGGGGGACCUUCGGGCCUCUUGCCAUCAGAUGUGCCCAGAUGGGAUUAGCUAGUAGGUGGGGUAAUGGCUCACCUAGGCGACGAUCCCUAGCUGGUCUGAGAGGAUGACCAGCCACACUGGAACUGAGACACGGUCCAGACUCCUACGGGAGGCAGCAGUGGGGAAUAUUGCACAAUGGGCGCAAGCCUGAUGCAGCCAUGCCGCGUGUGUGAAGAAGGCCUUCGGGUUGUAAAGCACUUUCAGCGAGGAGGAAGGUGGUGAGCUUAAUACGUUCAUCAAUUGACGUUACUCGCAGAAGAAGCACCGGCUAACUCCGUGCCAGCAGCCGCGGUAAUACGGAGGGUGCAAGCGUU